This 71-nucleotide transfer RNA is filed under the name Bos taurus (domestic cattle). It matches the Rfam family "tRNA". Rfam says of the family: Transfer RNA (tRNA) molecules are approximately 80 nucleotides in length. Their secondary structure includes four short double-helical elements and three loops (D, anti-codon, and T loops). Further hydrogen bonds mediate the characteristic L-shaped molecular structure. tRNAs have two regions of fundamental functional importance: the anti-codon, which is responsible for specific mRNA codon recognition, and the 3' end, to which the tRNAs corresponding amino acid is attached (by aminoacyl-tRNA synthetases). tRNAs cope with the degeneracy of the genetic code in two manners: having more than one tRNA (with a specific anti-codon) for a particular amino acid; and 'wobble' base-pairing, i.e. permitting non-standard base-pairing at the 3rd anti-codon position. Lineage: Eukaryota; Metazoa; Chordata; Mammalia; Artiodactyla; Bovidae. The record is from Rfam by way of RNAcentral.
UCCUUGGUGGCUAAAUAGUAAAGAAUCUGCCUGCAAUGCAGGAGACCCAGGUUGAAUCCCUGGGUGGGGAG